Molecule: ribosomal RNA, 273 nt
Filed under: uncultured bacterium
Lineage: Bacteria
Description: partial 16S ribosomal RNA
Rfam family: Bacterial small subunit ribosomal RNA
Source: RNAcentral
CCGCCGGCGACCGGCGCACGGGUGAGUAACACGUAUGCAACCUGGCCGUGACAGAUGGAUAACCGGGAGAAAUCCCGCCUAAUACAGCAUGACGCCGGGAAGGGACAUCCCUUUCCGGCCAAAGGGGGCGACUCCGGUCACGGAUGGGCAUGCGGCGCAUUAGGUAGUUGGUGGGGCAACGGCCCACCAAGCCGACGAUGCGUAGGGGUUCUGAGAGGAAGGUCCCCCACAUUGGAACUGAGACACGGUCUAAACUCCUACGGGAGGCAGCAG